GUGAAUCAUCGAAUCUUUGAACGCAAGUUGCGCUUCCUGGCAUUCCGGGAAGUAUGCCUGUUUGAGGGUCAGUAUUAAUAAAAAUUCGGUUUGGUUGCAAAUUUCGUCGUUUCCGGAGGUUGGUCUAUCUUAAUUUUUUUAGUUAAGGGGCUUAAAAUUGACCUUAUUUUUGCAUUUUUAUACGUAAAUAAAUUUUUUUUUUAUUCGUCUAUUCUUAAUUCCAAAAUCUUAUUAUAAGCGAUCACACC
Molecule: unclassified non-coding RNA, 248 nt
Filed under: Glomeromycetes sp.
Lineage: Eukaryota; Fungi; Glomeromycota; Glomeromycetes
Description: partial contains 5.8S ribosomal RNA and internal transcribed spacer 2
Rfam family: 5.8S ribosomal RNA (bases 1-71)
Source: RNAcentral